This is a long non-coding RNA of Notolabrus celidotus (New Zealand spotty), 173 nucleotides long. RefSeq lists it as uncharacterized. The record is from RefSeq and is a predicted model, not a curated record. The transcript has 3 exons. NCBI's taxonomy places the organism in Eukaryota, Metazoa, Chordata, Actinopteri, Labriformes, Labridae.
UCUGCCUGGUGGAGCCCCCUCACGCCACAACAGACCUUGUAACUGAUGAAGAGUGCGAGGAGACUUUGUCUGCUGCCUUCACAGAGGGGGAACCAGAAAGGCCUGUAGAGGGCAUGGCUGGGCAGCAGCAGGAGGGUCCCUCAACUUCAACUGCACAGAUUGACACAGUGAGA